This 481-nucleotide ribosomal RNA is filed under the name uncultured bacterium. RNAcentral describes it as "SSU rRNA". It matches the Rfam family "Bacterial small subunit ribosomal RNA", at positions 26 to 521 of the family's 1533-position model. The record is from RNAcentral.
AGAAUGAACGCUGGCGGCGUGCUUAACACAUGCAAGUCGAACGGAAUCCAAGGAGCUUGCUCUGGAAGAUUUAGUGGCGAACGGGUGAGUAUCACGUGAGCAACCUGCCCCGAAGACUGGGAUAACACCGGGAAACCGGUGCUAAUACCGGAUACCUUCCAAUGACCGCAUGGUCGAUGGAAGAAAUGUUUUUCGCUUCGGGAGGGGCUCGCGGUCCAUCAGCUUGUUGGCGGGGUAACGGCCCACCAAGGCUUCGACGGAUAGCUGGUCUGAGAGGACGAUCAGCCACACUGGAACUGAGACACGGUCCAGACUCCUACGGGAGGCAGCAGUGGGGAAUCUUGCGCAAUGGACGAAAGUCUGACGCAGCAACGCCGCGUGAGGGACGAAGGUUUUCUGAAUUGUAAACCUCUUUCGACAGGGACGAUAAUGACGGUACUGUAGAAGAAGCACCGGCCAACUAUGUGCCAGCAGCCGCGGU